This 86-nucleotide transfer RNA is filed under the name Russula ochroleuca. It matches the Rfam family "tRNA". Rfam says of the family: Transfer RNA (tRNA) molecules are approximately 80 nucleotides in length. Their secondary structure includes four short double-helical elements and three loops (D, anti-codon, and T loops). Further hydrogen bonds mediate the characteristic L-shaped molecular structure. tRNAs have two regions of fundamental functional importance: the anti-codon, which is responsible for specific mRNA codon recognition, and the 3' end, to which the tRNAs corresponding amino acid is attached (by aminoacyl-tRNA synthetases). tRNAs cope with the degeneracy of the genetic code in two manners: having more than one tRNA (with a specific anti-codon) for a particular amino acid; and 'wobble' base-pairing, i.e. permitting non-standard base-pairing at the 3rd anti-codon position. The record is from Rfam by way of RNAcentral. Lineage: Eukaryota; Fungi; Basidiomycota; Agaricomycetes; Russulales; Russulaceae.
GGUUCAGUGGUCUAAUGGUUAUGAUUUCUGUCUCACAUUUGUGAACUGAUCACAGAAGGUUCCCGGUUCGAUCCCGGGCUGAACCA